This 1016-nucleotide ribosomal RNA is filed under the name uncultured bacterium. RNAcentral describes it as "bacterial SSU rRNA". It matches the Rfam family "Bacterial small subunit ribosomal RNA", at positions 357 to 1376 of the family's 1533-position model. The record is from RNAcentral.
AGGAAUAUUGGUCAAUGGGCGCAGGCCUGAACCAGCCAAGUAGCGUGAAGGAUGACUGCCCUAUGGGUUGUAAACUUCUUUUAUAAAGGAAUAAAGUCGGGUAUGUAUACCCGUUUGCAUGUACUUUAUGAAUAAGGAUCGGCUAACUCCGUGCCAGCAGCCGCGGUAAUACGGAGGAUCCGAGCGUUAUCCGGAUUUAUUGGGUUUAAAGGGAGCGUAGAUGGAUGUUUAAGUCAGUUGUGAAAGUUUGCGGCUCAACCGUAAAAUUGCAGUUGAUACUGGAUAUCUUGAGUGCAGUUGAGGCAGGCGGAAUUCGUGGUGUAGCGGUGAAAUGCUUAGAUAUCACGAAGAACUCCGAUUGCGAAGGCAGCCUGCUAAGCUGCAACUGACAUUGAGGCUCGAAAGUGUGGGUAUCAAACAGGAUUAGAUACCCUGGUAGUCCACACGGUAAACGAUGAAUACUCGCUGUUUGCGAUAUACUGCAAGCGGCCAAGCGAAAGCGUUAAGUAUUCCACCUGGGGAGUACGCCGGCAACGGUGAAACUCAAAGGAAUUGACGGGGGCCCGCACAAGCGGAGGAACAUGUGGUUUAAUUCGAUGAUACGCGAGGAACCAUACCCGGGCUUGAAUUGCAGACGAAUUGCUUGGAAACAGGCAAGCCGCAAGGCGUCUGUGAAGGUGCUGCAUGGUUGUCGUCAGCUCGUGCCGUGAGGUGUCGGCUUAAGUGCCAUAACGAGCGCAACCCUUAUCUUUAGUUACUAACAGGUCAUGCUGAGGACUCUAGAGAGACUGCCGUCGUAAGAUGUGAGGAAGGUGGGGAUGACGUCAAAUCAGCACGGCCCUUACGUCCGGGGCUACACACGUGUUACAAUGGGGGGUACAGAAGGCAGCUACCUGGCGACAGGAUGCUAAUCCCAAAAACCUCUCUCAGUUCGGAUCGAAGUCUGCAACCCGACUUCGUGAAGCUGGAUUCGCUAGUAAUCGCGCAUCAGCCACGGCGCGGUGAAUACGUUCCCG